Molecule: ribosomal RNA, 449 nt
Filed under: uncultured Sphingobacteriales bacterium
Lineage: Bacteria; Pseudomonadati; Bacteroidota; Sphingobacteriia; Sphingobacteriales
Description: bacterial SSU rRNA
Rfam family: Bacterial small subunit ribosomal RNA
Source: RNAcentral
AGGAGCAUGUGGUUUAAUUCGAUGAUACGCGAGGAACCUUACCUGGGCUCGAACGUAAGAUGACUGUAGGUGAAAGCUUACAUCUCUUCGGAGCAUUUUACGAGGUGCUGCACGGUUGUCGUCAGCUCGUGCCGUGAGGUGUCGGGUUAAGUCCCAUAACGAGCGCAACCCCUACCUUUAGUUGCCAUCAGGUUAAGCUGGGGACUCUAAAGGAACUGCCUACGCAAGUAGUGAGGAAGGCGGGGAUGACGUCAAAUCAGCACGGCCCUUACGUCCAGGGCUACACACGUGCUACAAUGGCCGAUACAGAGGGCAGCUACCUGGUGACAGGAUGCAAAUCUCCAAAGUCGGUCUCAGUUCGGAUCGGAGUCUGCAACCCGACUCCGUGAAGUUGGAUUCGCUAGUAAUCGCGCAUCAGCCAUGGCGCGGUGAAUACGUUCCCGGGCCUU